AUGCAAGAAAUUGAUCUUUUAAUGUUUAAACUGUAAAGUACUGCAGGAAAUAAAAUAAAGGACAAACUUACAUCAAAUGUCAUAAUGAGCCAAUCAACAAAUUUACUAGACAGAGAUAGCAUGUACAACAGGAUGCCAUAACCCAAUGUCAAAGAAACAAGAAUAGAAAUCAAUGCAUAAUUUGAUUACAUUCAGACAAGACAUAAUCUACUAGAUUGUGAGCAUACCAGUACUUUAAUUACAUUGUAAAUGCAAAGUGGAAGGCUAAAACAAAAUUAUUUUUAAAGAAAAACAAAAUAUAAAUUUCAAUAAAUAUCUAUUUCUAUUUAAAACAACAACUGUUAAUUUAACUCAGUAUUAGUUGGCAGCAUGUAAUGAGAUUUGGGGGGGGGGGGGGGGG
Biomphalaria pfeifferi is the source of this 400-nucleotide non-coding RNA. The record is from the annotation of a GenBank genome assembly. NCBI's taxonomy places the organism in Eukaryota, Metazoa, Mollusca, Gastropoda, Planorbidae.